AAUAGCUAGGCGAAGGAACUGCUUCUCUUUCAUUCAUAUAUAGGCUUCGUUUGGGAUUGCGGGGAGAUUGCGUUACGUGCGGUGAUCGAGAAAGUACGUUCGAAAAAUACCCUGUUUGUUUCCAUACGUAAUAUUGCGUUCAGCAUAUCGCGAUGAGUUGGUUAUGAUAUAUAUUUUCUACGAUUCGACCGGAGAACGCAGAAACAUAUUCCUAUAUGCUUUUUUCUCAACUCUAUUUUAUCUAAUAGCGUUAGAUAGAUCUCAAUACCAAACUAAGCCAUAUAUAGAUUGAGAGCCAAUCAAACCUAUAAAUAAACUGUGAAGUAAUCAAAUCUAUAAUAGUUUGACGUAUAAUAAGCAUUAGCUGAUGAUCAAAUUGAUAUAGUGCUUAACAUGAAUUACUACCGUCGAGCCAAAAUCUUAUUGAAUAUUAUUAGUUACAAAUUGAAUCAAACCGAAAUUUUCCUAUUCCGUUCGAUUCAAUUUACUCACGACUCAGGUUUAUUUAAAUACAUAUACAUAUAUUCUAAAAUAAAACUGAUAAACUGACCGAUAAGCUAGCGUUUGAUUCGGGGUUAGGUGAAAACUUGUUAUUUUAUGGAUAGAGUUAAAUUCAGGGUUAAGGUGGGAUUAAAAUAAUUUUGUGUUUGGUUGAAAAUUGGGUUUAGUCCAAAUAUAGAUAAAAUAGUGUUUGGUUAGAGUAGGUGAUAUAAAAAGGAUAGUGGGUAAAAUAGUGUUUUGUUUUGUUGGAGUAGUGGGGUGGA
This 764-nucleotide long non-coding RNA is filed under the name Ananas comosus (pineapple). RNAcentral describes it as "long non-coding RNA (ACOM_LNC011194)". The record is from RNAcentral. Lineage: Eukaryota; Viridiplantae; Streptophyta; Magnoliopsida; Poales; Bromeliaceae.